This 74-nucleotide transfer RNA is filed under the name Planctomycetes bacterium B3_Pla. Its description in RNAcentral is "tRNA-Arg". It matches the Rfam family "tRNA". From Rfam's summary of the family: Transfer RNA (tRNA) molecules are approximately 80 nucleotides in length. Their secondary structure includes four short double-helical elements and three loops (D, anti-codon, and T loops). Further hydrogen bonds mediate the characteristic L-shaped molecular structure. tRNAs have two regions of fundamental functional importance: the anti-codon, which is responsible for specific mRNA codon recognition, and the 3' end, to which the tRNAs corresponding amino acid is attached (by aminoacyl-tRNA synthetases). tRNAs cope with the degeneracy of the genetic code in two manners: having more than one tRNA (with a specific anti-codon) for a particular amino acid; and 'wobble' base-pairing, i.e. permitting non-standard base-pairing at the 3rd anti-codon position. The record is from RNAcentral. RNAcentral also lists the same sequence under 6 other names. Lineage: Bacteria; Pseudomonadati; Planctomycetota.
GUCCCCGUAGCUCAAUUGGAUAGAGCGUUGGCCUCCGGAGCCAGAGGUUGAAGGUUCGAAUCCUUCCGGGGAUA